UUUUUGAACAUCAGGCCAUCCUUUCAGGUAUCUAAAUGUCAAUUCAAGUGUCUAUCUUUAGGCAUUUUUGAAAAUUUUCGCUGAAGGAUCUUAACCAAAGAAAAAAGUACUGUAAAGGUGCAGUAUGUGACUCCCGAUCCACCUUCUAGAGAUGGCAGUCUGGUUUUGUAGAUUGAAUUCAACACAGAGAUGCAAAGUGGGUUCUUUC
This 208-nucleotide long non-coding RNA is filed under the name Gopherus agassizii (Agassiz's desert tortoise). RNAcentral describes it as "lncRNA (ENSGAGG00000007545.1)". Lineage: Eukaryota; Metazoa; Chordata; Testudines; Testudinidae. The record is from RNAcentral.